CCAAUUUGCUCUUGUGGGGAUCCCGUCAUGUUGAGUAGGAUUUAUGUUUGUAGAGAGCUUUCUGUUCUUCUCAUCUGAUCUCUCUUUGUAAGAAGCAACAUAAGCAGCCAUGCUGUGGGCUGGGGCCCUGCUUCUAGCUUUCCUGCCAGCUGGCAGUCAAACAUCUUCCAACAUGGAAGGGGGAAUGGUCUCAGUCACCAGGAAUCCUGGGUCACAUGUGACAAUCAGUUGUGACCUGCGUGCAGGAAGAAGCUACACUCACUGGUACCGAUUUCAGGAGGGUCAGGCCCCCCAGCUCCUCCUCUAUUAUGAUGUCUCCAGCUCCAAGGCUGUGCUGGAUUCGGGCCUCAGACCAGGAAAAUUCAAUGCUUACCAAGUUUCAGAGUUUAGCAAUAAACUUAUAGUACAAAAUUUGGAAGAAGGUGAUGCCGGUGUGUACUACUGUGCAGUGUGGACAGUCACAGUGCUUCGCACCUGCUCUGUGCUACGCCGAAAAGUCUGCUUGUGGCUGCUCCUGGUGCACAGGCUAGAUGGGCCCCCAGCUGACUUUCAGUCCUGAUAGCUAGUAUAUUGUCAUCAGCUUCCAGUUGAUGGGUGGACGGAGUGUCUAAUUCGUAUAUACCUUUGUCAAUGUUUCUGUGAUAAUCACCUCGGAAUGAUUCUAAUAAGAGAAGAAAUUUUCAGAAACAGAUAAUUCAGCAGUGUUAUAGAGGUAUACAUGGAAAAUACUUUUGUAUCCACAUACUCUCA
Non-coding RNA from Octodon degus (degu), 750 nucleotides. The record is from the annotation of a RefSeq genome assembly. NCBI's taxonomy places the organism in Eukaryota, Metazoa, Chordata, Mammalia, Rodentia, Octodontidae.